Long non-coding RNA from Gallus gallus (chicken), 10062 nucleotides. RefSeq lists it as uncharacterized. NCBI's taxonomy places the organism in Eukaryota, Metazoa, Chordata, Aves, Galliformes, Phasianidae. The record is from RefSeq and is a predicted model, not a curated record. The transcript is spliced from 7 exons.
ACACGAGAUAGAAGUUCAGGAAGUACUACCCUGCAAAACCCUUCACGCAGCCUUAACGUGAGGAAUGAUCUGCAAUUGGUGGGAAGUCGGGGGACUUACAGCAAGGUGCAGAGCUGAGCUGGAUCUGCUGAUGGAGUCAGUCUCUGGGAGGUGUGUGUACACAAAACAUGGGUCAUGCAGGAGGCCAGGGAGUGGUGCAGUGUUUGUAUGGGGCUUCGAGGUGCUGGGGGAAAUGCUGAGAGGGAUUUGGGAGCUGCUGCGGUGCUGGAGGUCAUCUCAUAGGAAAUGACUACCAUGAAUUGGUGUUCCUUGGGAUGAAGAGGUCGUGCUGUGAUGCCCAAGCAGUGUGAACACCAGCAGCCUUGCUGCAGAAUUUCUCUUUGGUGAUAGCAGUAGUUUUGAUGGGGAAGUGAUGCGUGGGGACAUUGAGAGCAUGGUCGUCACUGCUGCUGGUGUGGUGUUUUGGCCUUGGAGAAAAUGGUACUCAUACAGUGCUGCUCUCAGCUUUCUGCCUGCAGCAAAGGGAACAAGUGCUUUAUAAAUCCCUGCUUUGGUCCCAGCUUCUUCAAGUGACCUUUGUGUGUCUGCUUACUUUUGGUAAAAUGGAGGCAGUAAUGUCCAAUUGCUUUUUAGAAUCACAGAAUAUCCCGAAUUGAGAGGAACCCAUAAGGAUCAUUAAGUCCAACUCCUAGCCAGUCUCUUUGAGGAAACCAGAGUUUUCUCGUGUGUGAGAGUGCAAGAGAAAGCAAACCCACAUGGGAAGGAGCUACGCUUUGAGGAACAUCCUGAUUGCAGAAGGACGCAAGGCUCUGUUAAAGCCCAGGGCCAGGUUAGAAGCUCACGGUGUGAAACUGCCUUAAUGCAGAUAAUCAUGGAUGAAAAGGCAGCAUAGGGUGGGAAGCAGCCUGACAAGAAGGCUGUAAUGAUGUAACGGUAAUAUGACUGGGCCAGAAGGAAGUGGUAUUAUUGGGCUAAAUUCUUUCUACUUUGAAGAGGCCAAAGCCACUUCUCACAUGAUUGGAUUCCACCUCCAGGGUCUUGAAUUUGCCAGACAGCAAACACACCAAAGGGACCUGGCUUUGCCUGUUGGACGCACAGCACCCACCAAUGAGUGGGUGACAAACUGCACGUUUCCAGGGCUGUGGUUUUCUGGGCAUCUGCAGCUGCCCGUCACUCUUGCAAACUGUCGCCGUUGAUUUUGCAGAACGUCAUCCGUCGUGUUUCCUCACGCUCCUUGGAAUGCACUAAAUAACCAAAAGAGCAGCUGACAAAAUAAAUGAGCAAAGUGGGGUUUUUUGUUGUUGGGUUUUUUUGUUUUUUGUUUUUUUCUUUUUUCAGAGACAUUGCACAAAGGGCAGGAUGGGCUGUUUGGGACGUGCCACUUCUGCCCAUUUCAAACGCAGACUUCAUCAGGGCAGCUGGCAGAAGGGAUGGCUCCAGUCCUUCGUGCUCACAGACGGUUUGUUCCGGACCUGGCUCUGGCUGAACCCUGGUGAACUUCCCCCGCAUCCCCUUCCCCGCCGGAGAGCUUGCAGCCAUGAACUUCCCGUGCCUGACCCAAGCAUCUCCGAGAGGUGUGAUCUGAGCUGCAGCCGGAGGAAGGAGAUGGUCGACCCGCCCCUGGCUCCCGCUCAGCCUCCCUAAUCAGCGCAGGAAUGUCUCUGGAUGGCCAUGCAGCAGACAUAUAUUUCAGUGGAGGUGGCAAAGAGUAAGGGGGAAAUGUGGAAUGAUGCAGGAGCUGUAUAAUGGAAUGGAACAAAAUUUCUGGUACAUACGUAUGUUUAUAUAUAACAUCAUGCAGAAAGACCCUAUGCAAGGAGUAUGGAAGAGAGGAUGGAUCUUGCUGCUCAUGCCCCAGACCAGCCUCCUCCUUGUUGCAGACUGUAAUAAGCCAUCGCUGGAGGAUGGUAGAGAGGUUCUUUGAAAAUCUCUCCAAGAUGCACUGCAAUAUUUGCCCAUCUGAGGACUGGAAAACCUAGUGCAAAUCCUAGAAAGUGGAAAUUGCCCUACGCAUGGCAGAGUGGAGCAAGCAGUGAGUCUAUUCUCCUUAUUAAACCCUUAUGCUUCCAAUAAAAGAAUUGUGAAACUAUUCCCAUCGGUGGCCUGUCCUCUACCCACAACAGUGACAGAGAAGACUGUUUGAUUUCCAUCAGCAGAAUAAUAUGAGUGUGGACGCCACUGCCACAAAUUUAAGAAGGAUCUCCAGUUGCUGCUUGCCAAAGAAACAGUGCAUGGUCUGGGGGUUUUCAGCCCUCAAGUGGAGAUGCCGCUGGUGUGAUGACAGCUUGAGCAGCAUGAAGCUCCAGAAGAGCUUGAACAGAAAGGGCUGUGUCUGCAAAGAGGUGGGUCAGCUGUGUCUCUGGAGAGCUGCAUGCAGAGCCAGACCCGACCUCUUCUCAGUGAGGUGGAAGCAAAUGUUGGUGCUUUGGGUCUGUCCACAUCUACAAGCAUGCGUGAGGUCCCUUGCUGUGGUUCAGCUGAUGUGGGGCAUCUUGCUCAACAGUUCGAGAGUCUCAGCUUGCAAAUAUUGAAGGAGAUAAAUGGUUAAAAGAAAACUAAAACAACCAUACCCAAAAUAAACAAACCAACCCCAAACAAACAAAUGAAACCUCAAAACAAACAAAGAACUCAAAACAAACAACCAAAACCUUCCCUACCCCCUCUCCCCCCCAAAAAAAUGAAGGAAGGAACAAGGAACCCUGGUGAUCACAGCAGGAUCUGCAAGGCUCACACUGGAGAGGACAGGUAUGACAGGGGCACGUUUAGCACCUGGCUGCUCUUUACAUCACAGGGCAGAAAUAUGAAAAAUAUGAAAUAUGCAGCAGGGUUGGAUGAAAAGGAAAAUGUAAUGAGAGUAGGAGAAAGAAUGCCACAUGCUCCAACCGCAUCUGAACUUGGCAGCAGCAGCCCAGGGAAGCCCAUGUAAAUCCUAGAAGCAUGUUAAAGGCAUUUUCACCCCACAAAGACUGACAUGCAUGAAAAGUAUUGUUUCAACAAUGUCAGUCAAGAGCCUGGAGAAAUAAUUUGCUAAUAUACUGCCUAGAAGCCCAACAUGGCUAAUUGGAGGGAUGUUCACAUCUUGGAAUGGAGACUACUUGGGAACAGUCUUCCAAUGGGGUAACGAAGUGCAAAGAAGUAAAGGCUGUGUGAACAAGAUGGUGUGUCGAUGCUGCAUUUACACAGCAAAGUGAGAGAUUUCCUCAAGGAGCACAAAGAAAACAUGACAGCAGAGAGAAAACACAUGUACAUGAAGCAUAGGCAAUACAACGUAAGGACAGACUGAGGGAUGUUGUAGAGAAAGACAUAACUGAAAACGCUCGGAAUAUUGCCUAUGUCAUGUGCAAAGGAAGUUAUUAUCCAGCAGCACUGUGCCCAGGCAGAGCAAGCAUUCCUUCCAGUAAGGUUUAGGAGAUGAAUCCUCACUUCUGGGGGCAGCGUGGUCAUCCUUUGGGUUUCUUCUUGGCCUGUCCUUUGUGUACUGUAGACACAUCAAGAUCUGCAAAGGCUUAGCUACGCUGCUAUUUUUCCCUUAAAAAAUAUACUCUCUAAUUUAUUGAAUUACAGGAUACAUAUCAUUUUGCAUUAAAGGGGAUAUAGUGGAAUGCAUUCAUAUUCAAUUUGGCCGUUGCAGCAGAAUCACAGAAUCACAGAAUGGCCCGGGUUGGAAGGGACCUCCAGGAUCAUGAAGCUCCAAACCCAGCAGGAAAUACAACAAUAUCUUCCUAAAAUAAGGCAUUAUAAGUCUCUGUCAGCUCCCUCAAGUUGGCUUAGAAAUAGCUUAUGGACCCAUUUCCCCCAAAGAUCUGUGGAGGAUGGAUGAAUGGGAAGCAUCUGUAGGUGAGGAACUGUGUUACACAGGAAACAUUGCUCUGUCUUUAUGCUCAGCCUUUUUUUUCUUACAUUGCAGAUCUGAAAAGCCAUAAAGAAAAGUAUAAUUUGCCUGAUUCUUCUGGCUAGCUGGGAGAAUGAAUGAGCCCCACUGGUUCCUGAGGUGCAUUGGCCAUGCUGAUGGCAGGUUUGCUAAAUCUCAGGGGAGGGAUGCAGCUGUGACAGCGGGCAUCCAGGGUCAGGGGGGACACAUUUUGUCUUGGUGGAGCUUCAGCAGGUGGUGGAUUGAACCCAAGCAGGAUACGGAGGUCACAAGUCCAGGAUAACUUGCAAGUCCAACCCAAUCCAUGGGCAGUUCACCAGAGAACCAUGGAAUCCAGCCAUAAAGGCUGGAAAAGGCCUCUAAGAUCCCAAGUCCAACCCCAGCCCACCCCAUCAUGCCCACUAGUCAUGUCCCCCCAGUGCCACAUCUCUUGAUGAGAUCUUCCUGAACACCUCCAGGGAUGGGGACUCCACCACCAUCCUGGGCAGCUUCUUCUAAUAACUCACCACCCUUUGCACUACUUUCCAUUCUACUUCCAGUAAGAUAGAGACAGAAAGUGGAGCUGAGCCUACUGAAGAACGAAGGACAGCCAACAUGUACUAGGUGCUCAUGCUUGAUGCCUGCAGGCCAGGUAAAUCCAGGGAGCAGUUGUAAAAGGAAGGGAAGUGCAGGGACAGUCGCAGCUGAUUCUCCCACCGGCUGUGGGGAAGGUACUGCACCUCCCUGCAGCUUUUAUUUAUCUCCUAGACUUUCUCUUGCAUGUUUAAAUUGCCGUGGCUUUGAAGGAGGAGCUGUGCUGUGCACUGUCCCAGCACCCACCAGGACGUCUAUUGGGACAGCUGCUCUCCUAUCCGCCCACCAAAUGGCUGAAUUCUCCAGCAAGGACAAAGACCUUAUUUAUGCUCAUGCCUCUCAAAGUACAUAUAUUUUAGUCCUGGAGGAUUUACUGGCAAUAAAGUUUUCUUCUGAGAUUCCUAAAUCACGAGGUACUUAGGCUCUGCAGACCAUGAUGCCCAUGGACAAUAUUUGCUCUGUAGCUUGACACAUCUUUCUGCCUUAGAAUAACAGAAAAACAUGCAGCCAGGACCUGCCCAGCUGCGAGGACUCUAAAUCACCUGCUUUUUCUUUGUUUCCAGAGGGGCAGGUGCAGCUCAGAUUAUCUGCAAGCUAUUUUAUGACUUAACAACACGGGCUUUAAUGCAGUUAGAGAUGCCUUUAUUCAUUCUUACACUCCUGAGUAUUUUUGUGUAAACAUUUUUCAUCUGUGGCAAGCCAGUUUGUUUGUUAUGUUUUGUCAUGUCAGAGCAGACUGUGAUUAGACACUGAGAUGAGACUACUAAAUAUUCUCAGAUGUUUUCUAUUUCCUCAGAGAAGAGCUGGAUUUGAACCAAAGCUCCGAGGUGAAAGGGUGAUGUGUAAUAUAUUGAGACAUCUGAAAUAAAAUAAUGUAAUGUUUUUAAUAUUUAAGAAGAAAAAGGCAGCAGUAAAACAUCGUGGAAGGAGGAAAACAUGAAUACCUAUAUAUUUUAAUUUUAAAUACAUGCAGAUGUUGAAUUUUAAUCAGAGCAUGUCAGAAUCUGACUGUAACAAAGGCAAAAAUGUGAGAUCUGUUUUCUUGAAUUGCUUCCAUAUUUUGAGCUCCAGAUUUUUAUUACAUAUAGCACUGCAUCAUCAUAUAUUUAUGUAAAGUGCCAGCACCCAUUGACUUAGCAUAUGCCUGAUGGUUAGCAUAUAAAACACUUCACAGUGAGAAGUAUAUUCUUUCCCUCAGUAUGUACAGUAUAUACCAUAUUAUACACGCCUGCACCUUCUUGCACAGUGGCAGAGCUCGUUUUCACCUCUCAGUAGGUCUGGUGUUUCUUUUGGACCCUUCUACCUUCACUCUGCUGCUGAUGCCCCUGGCUGUGAGAAUCUGGUCUAGGGGCAGACAUGAGAGAUGGUGCAUUUAAAUCGAUGGACAAAUGCUGGUCUCGGGUAGCUGGUAGAGAAGGGAGAUGCUAGACCCACAUGUCACUUUGCCCUUGGUGGUGCCACGCUUGCAGAAGAGCAUUGCUGCAGCAUCCUGCAGGUACUCAUGCAGUGAGGUGCUGGCACUGCUGCCCAGAGCUAUGGGUCCCUCAUCCUGGAGGUGCCCAAGGCCAUGGAUGGGACCCUGGCAGCCUGAGGUGGUGGGAGGUGUCCCAGCACCCCUCCAUAGAGCUGGGUACCAGCACACACCCGGGCCAAGGCAGCCCAGCCCAGGCUGCUGCUGUUGUCCAAAUCCACUCUGCUGCCAGCAAUGCCCUGCAGUGCUCUGGGGGGGGGAUCUGCAUCAGAGCUGCUUCCUUUUUUGGUUUCUUUUCUGGAUUGCUUUUCUUCAAUGAAUAGAAUUUUUAUUAUUAUUUUUUUAAGCCCUUCUCACGCCUUCAGCUCUGGGAGUGAGGCACAUGACCGCUGUUUGCUGAUGUUUUUCCUAAAAGAGUGAUGUUUGCAGAGUGCUGCAGCCCUCACCAGUCCCAGCUGCCAGCUGCUGGGGCUGAGGUCCCAUGGCACAGCCUGAACUGGGAUAGCAGAAUGCAACCCGGAGGGCUCUGCAUGCUCACAGCAAUGCACAGAUGUGUCUGUGCCUAAAUGUUCAUCAGAAUGAACGGAUCUGCCUUUAUUUCACCUGGUUCACUUGACCGACCCAUCGCAAACACUUGCUCGAGGCUGUGCAUCUUUUCCUCUCCAAUCCAUGGAUAUUCCCAUUGCGCCGGAAACUCCCUCAGUUCAGCUGUGUUCAGUCAUUCUCCCUCUGCCCUGAACAUCUGUUGGAGGCAGUGCGCUUAAUGGGAGAUGUCUUCAAAAUGCUAUUUCAGGUUUUCCAUUACAGGCGAGGUGGGAUACCCCGUGACAGCUUCGCCCCGUGCAGGAUUCCCAUGGAAGAGUCAUUUCCAUCAAAGGUCCCACCCUUACCGAUAUUACUGCUGGGGGAAUAGGAGAAAUCGUUUACAGGUUGGAUGUUUCUCCUUCUGUGUGCUCCACUGUCUCUUAAUGUGUCCUUUUUGUUGCCGGGAUUUCCUGCCCCUUACCACCCCACGUGCUGGAUUCAUUCACUUUUGAAUUGAUGCUAUGUGGAUGAGUGUGGGAUUUCUGAUUCUUUGUUAGGAGUUAAGCAUUACAGAGAUCCAGGACAAGCAGAAGGACAAGACCAAAGCUAGAUUUGUGAAAGCCUCUCCAUACCUAACUCCUAACCCCAUGUGAGUUGUUAUGUGCUUGAGCUGAGCACCCAUUUGCCUUUGGCUUUCUGGCCAUGAAAGCUGGCCCUCUGCUGUCUUGUGGGUGCUAUGUGCUAUUUCCCUGUGCAGAGCAGGCAGGAACAGAAUAUGAUAGCCCUGCAAAGAAGUCUCAGUCACUGCCCCUUUGCUUCCGUUCCCCUUCUUGUCCACAUAGUUGCCCAAACUGCUUGACCAUGCAACUGACUGCCUUGAUUGCCCUCUGCCUACAUAUCCAGAGUACAGCAAAGUAUUUAUUGUAUGAGGAAUACCAAGCGUGAAGCCCUGCCGUGCUGCAGGACCGGUGAUGCUGAGGUGCUCUCGAAUGGGCAGAACAGGGCUUUUGCACCAGGAAUGAGCCCCAGCCAAGAUGCUGACAGACCCUGGUCACUCAGAAAAGCUUCUUACAGUCUCAGCACUACUUCUUCUGUCUUAUCCACAGUUUUCUAGGAGCUGCAAAUGAUCAGUUUGGCUCUGACCCUGUGAUCUUUGCUCGUACAAAGCUCUUACUGACGCCAAGAAUUUUCCAGCCCUCAUUCCUACUGACAGAGGCAGUUUUAGCUGGGUGAGAACUUUGCCACUGGGGCACCUGUGUUUUUCAGGGUUUUUCCAGGUGAAGAUUUUAUUUUCCUAUAUUUUUUUGCCCCUUGUAGGUGCUGAGAGUGCUGAGCUCUCAGAAUCACAGUUGUGUGGGAUUCCAGCUUUGUUAAAACAAUAUCCUAAAGGUUGCGAAGCCGAGCUGCUUGCCAAGAGCGAAAAUUGAAUGUUCCACUCUCCCCAUUUGACUAAAUUUAGUUUGGGAUCCUGAUGAAGUCUUUCUUUGUGUGAUUUCAUGUCUACAGGGCAACUGCGAGAGAAGACUUCCUAAUUCUGUCAGGAUGCUGGCAGCCCUGAUGCUGGGACAGCAUGUCCUCUGGGCGUUUGCUGCACUGCCAUAUAUACAGCACUAGAUUGUGUCCCUGUUCUAUUGGAGAGACCCUGUAGCAGUAUUCUUUUUUGUUUGCUUGUUUUCAUUUUUCCCCUCUUUUUUUUUUCCUCUUCUGUUGCAUGAAAGAAACUUGUGUGUAUGGCAGUAGGUUUGUUUGCCCUGUAGAUAUUUGAUGGUAAUUCUGCCUGACCGUGAUAGCUUUUAUUGUACCAUAGGUCAACUGGAGAGUGUUUUGAAGGGUCAUUUAGAGUGAAAUUCUCCUUUCUUUUGUGCGGUGUACAAAGAAAGAGGCAUGGGAUGGAGAAGUACUCUGUGAAAAUGUGAGACAUCUUCCCAAUGUUACUCAGCCAUAGGACCAAGUGAUGGAUAGCCAUGGGGUGAGAUAACAUUGGUCCUGUGUUGCCAUUCUAUUGAAUAUUAGAUCUAAGCCACUGUCAGGGUUCAGACGAGUAGGAGGCCCUUUGGAGCCCAUUAGAGAUUAUUGAUACAUGCGAAAGAAUGAGUUCUGCCCUGUCCUGGAGGCAUUCAAGGCCAGGCUGGAUGUGGCUCUGGGCAGCCUGGGCUGCUGGUUGGCGACCCUGCACAUAGCAGGGGGUUGGAACUGGAUGAGCAUUGUGGUCCUUCUCAACCCAGGCCAUUCUGCGAUGCUAUGAUCCUAAAGUCCUGUCCAUCAAGCUGUAGGUGCCCCUGUUCAUUGCAGGGGAGUUGGACCAGACAACCUUUAAAAGUCCAUGCCAACUCACUCAAUUUUAUGAUUCUAUGAUUGCAUGAGAAACGGCUUAUUUUGUCCGGGAAAACAAGCCUUGUUAAAUUAAAUGCUGUACUCCUUUGUGCACAAAAGCAAUCUUCAGCCCAAGCUCCAUCGUGUCAUUGGUCAGCUGCCCUCUCCACCAUGCUGCACAUCGGUACCUUUCCUUGCUGUCUUCUCUGCAUGCUUGAGGAUGAGAGGAUUUGCCUUCCUCCUUGGUGUUAUCAUCAGCACAAAGCAGUAUUCUGAAAGGCAGCCCUCCCCCAGAUUGUAUCUCUGGAUUCUGCUGAUCUUUCAGGCUGCACUGGAAGCAGAUCUGCCAUGUGUGAAUGGCCCAAUGCAGGACUCCCAGUGUGGGAGUAUUGGCUCCCCAAGGUAAAAUCCCUGGAAAGCCAUGCAAGAGCGAUUAUUGCAUUUGCAUUUAAGCAGAAGCACAAGGCUGGGCAGCCUGCUGUUCGUCAGCCUUCUGGAUAUACAUCUCAGUCCCCAGCUGGCAGUAAAUGUAUUGUCGGAUAUCCCUCCAAACUUGUGUAAGUUAUUGCUUUCUUAGAGUGCUUUUAUACCUGUGUGUAUUUUUCUUCCUGUUCCAGCAUCUUACAAAGCUCUCUUUGGAGACGAUCAGCAUUGCUAAGUAUAGUUUUGCAAAAUUCCAGGACACGUCUUCACUUGGCACAUGAAAAUUAGUUAACAGACUGUCAUGAGACCUUUCUUUGCUCUCCCACUGUUCUCACUCCCACGACACCUGACGUAUAGCGCAUGGGCUUGCGAAUGGCCUCAGGUUUGCUCUGUGACUCACCAUUAAUCACCAUGAGAAAUAGCCUUCCCAGUUCGUAAAUUCAAGGUAAACUCUAUUUCCCGCAUAUUCUGUCAAACGGACAUCAGCAGGCUGUUUAUAUUAAUUCAUGCCCCCUUAAACAUUGCAUUCAGGGAGGUGAGAAGUGCUGGGGGGGGCUCUGCUGUGCUGACAAACAUGUUUGCGCCUUCAUUUGCAGAGCUCUUCUCCCUUAGCGAUGCACAUGUAGUUCCCAAGCACAGUACAGAUUGUUCAGUCGUUCAAACCACAAGCUAAAUAUUUGAGCUUCCAGUGCUUUAAGUAAACACGUCCUAUCUAUACACCAGCUGCAAGAAGAGAUGCUGAAUUUGGGGAUGAUCUUACACCAUUAAAUCAAUUUCAAAUUUAUAAAUAUCCAGGGUGAGCUAUGGUCACCGAACAGGGGACUGCUGUGAAUAGCUGUAGCUGUUGAGCCUUGAUAUGCAAUUAAAUCAUAGGGAACAAUGGUGA